RNAcentral lists this ribosomal RNA (439 nucleotides) under uncultured bacterium. RNAcentral describes it as "partial 16S ribosomal RNA". It matches the Rfam family "Bacterial small subunit ribosomal RNA", at positions 339 to 795 of the family's 1533-position model. The record is from RNAcentral.
CUACGGGUCGCACCAGUGAGGAAUAUUGCACAAUGGGGGGAACCCUGAUGCAGCAACGCCGCGUGGAGGAUGACGCAUUUCGGUGUGUAAACUCCUUUUAUAUGUCAAGAAAAUGACGGUAGCAUAUGAAUAAGCACCGGCUAACUCCGUGCCAGCAGCCGCGGUAAUACGGAGGGUGCAAGCGUUACUCGGAAUCACUGGGCGUAAAGGACGCGUGGGCGGGUUGGAAAGUCAGGUGUGAAAUCCUGCAGCUUAACUGUAGAACUGCACUUGAAACUUCUAAUCUAGAGUAUGGGAGGGGGAGAUGGAAUUAGUGGUGUAGGGGUAAAAUCCGUAGAUAUCACUAGGAAUACCUAAAGCGAAGGCGAUCUCCUGGAACAUUACUGACGCUAAGGCGUGAAAGCGUGGGGAGCAAACAGGAUUAGAUACCCGGGUAGUC